UACGUAGGUGGCAAGCGUUGUCCGGAUUUGCUGGGCGUAAAGAGCGCGCAGGCGGUCGAUUUAGUCGCGUGUGAAAGCCCCCGGCUCAACUGGGGAGGGUCACGCGAUACUGAUCGACUCGAAGGCAGGAGAGGGUAGUGGAAUUCCCGGUGUAGUGGUGAAAUGCGUAGAUAUCGGGAGGAACACCAGUGGCGAAGGCGACUACCUGGCCUGUUCUUGACGCUGAGGCGCGAAAGCUAGGGGAGCAAACGGG
RNAcentral lists this ribosomal RNA (253 nucleotides) under uncultured bacterium. RNAcentral describes it as "partial 16S ribosomal RNA". It matches the Rfam family "Bacterial small subunit ribosomal RNA", at positions 524 to 776 of the family's 1533-position model. The record is from RNAcentral.